GAAGAGCACAGUUUAAACCAACACCACCGAAGACAAAGAAAUCCGAGGCAGAAAAGACGAUUGAAAAACUAGCUCCAGGCCACUGUGGCAUCACGGUCUAAGAAUCUUCUGGAGAGCGGCUUCAAGGUGGAGAGCACCAUUUUCACUUGGACUGUCACUGGUGAAAAGGUGUCAGUGAGCACUGUGAGAAAACUCGGGGAGGAACAAGGAACACGGAGACGAGGAAUAACUCAAAUAAACAGGCUUUAAUCCAUCCCAACAGAGGCAAGACAAGGCAGGGCUGAGACAAACAGGAACACAAGGAACGUAGCGAGUAGACCAGACCAAAGGGGAACUGAACAGGCAGGAACUUAAAUACAAGGGUAAUUAAUAGAACACAGCUGAACGGAAUCAUAAUUAUACUAAACAAAGACAGGAAAAUGACCAAAUAUGGGCAUAAGAGGGAGGGAAACACAAGACUGACAUUACUCCCCCCUCCCCUGAAGGUGCAUCCACGUGCCUCCUAAGAUCCAACGGCGGAUCAGGCAGUUCGGGGCACCAUGCCACAGCAGGGAGCCCAGGAAGCCAUGGCGGAGCAGGGAUCUCAGGAGGCCAUGGCAGGGCGGCCUCCGUGGCCUUGGCCUCGUCCUUCGGCCCGGCCUCUAUGGCCCGAGCCAUAUAGCCCCCCCCCAAAAAAAAAUCCUUGGGGAGAAUCUUGGGUCUAGAGGCCCUGCCUGGGCUGGACGAGGGAACAGCAGCUCUCUCUGGGCUGGAUCCAGGGACUGGAGCCCUCCUUGG
Molecule: long non-coding RNA, 777 nt
Organism: Sinocyclocheilus grahami
Lineage: Eukaryota; Metazoa; Chordata; Actinopteri; Cypriniformes; Cyprinidae
Exons: 3
Source: RefSeq, a predicted model, not a curated record